AAUAUGUCUCUGCUGUGUUUAUGUCCGUCUUGUGUUUGCCUACCUAUCACUAAUUAAGUAGCAUAAAUAGAUAAAUGAAAGUUUCGGCUAAAACUUUGUCAUAAGUUACCACACGGAUAACCAGCUUGUGGCGGCCUAAUGAUCAUAGUAACGUCGUUUUUCGAUCCUUCGAUGUCGGUUCUUCUUAUCAUUGAGGAGCCGAAUCCACCAAGCGUUGGAUUGUUCACCCACUAAUAGGGAACGUGAGCUGGGUUUACACCAUCGUGAGACCGGUUAGUUUUAC
This 283-nucleotide non-coding RNA is filed under the name Trichobilharzia regenti. RNAcentral's name for it is "Eukaryotic large subunit ribosomal RNA". It matches the Rfam family "Eukaryotic large subunit ribosomal RNA", at positions 2535 to 2992 of the family's 3401-position model. The record is from Rfam by way of RNAcentral. Lineage: Eukaryota; Metazoa; Platyhelminthes; Trematoda; Strigeidida; Schistosomatidae.